CGGGGAGAAGGGCUCGUCAUCCGGAGCGUCCAAGACUCCAAGUCGGCCCUGGAUUUCCAGGUGCACGUGCACGUGGUGGUCAUCAUAGCCGGCGAUGAGUGGCCCACGCUCCUCGCCAAGCCGGUCACCACCGAGCGCGAGCGCCGUCAACGGGCAGGAGAAGAAAGUGGACGAGCAACGCUGUGAGGUGAGCUUCCAGGUCCGAGGCAAAUGCCGCUGACGUGCAGAGCCAUGAGCCCAAGACCAUGAGACCAGCAGCACGACGGCACUGCAAGAAAGAUAAGAGAGACAAGAAAAGGAAGAGAGUAUGUAUCUAUAAUUGCGAUGACAUCAGAUUCAUUCACGGAGAGUGCUUAUGAGUACAUUGCUACUGGCCUGGGUUCCUACAUUAUCUCUUGAAAGGGGGUUUCGUCGCCCUAUACGAAUAAAGCAACAUCCACAUUAAUACAACAAGAGAUGCAAUUGUGCGUACAAGAAAAAUAUAGGCUUAUUGGGGUAACAACACAAGACAUGCAACAUGCUAUAUGUCGACCACGUGAACACCAUCCAACAUGUCUCCUAGACGGUCCUUGUCCCGCCGUGUGCAUAGUGGGUGGUACUACUGGAAAAUUGCCAAGAAUUUAAACAGAGUCAGGAGCACGCUGCAAGAAGACUCUCUUGACAACCAUCUUAUUAUGCAUCGUACAUAGGGUCCAAUUCAUUGCCAUGAACACCAAUCAGAAGAGUCGCCUCCUCAUAUCAGUUUGUCUUGUAAAUAUUAUUCCCUUGACGCAUCAUAAAUGCAAUAGAUAUAGCGUGGCUGGUAUUCACAACUAGUUACCUUGCUAUUCGAAGACAGAAACAAAGCUCUUUUUAGAGAGCAUGGGUCAAUCCCAUCAAUAAGAUCACUUAGCUUACUCAAACUUUAAAGUCUUCCAUUAGUUUUAUGAGACAGGAAGUGAUAUUGUGUCACACAUGUAUAUAUAUAAUUCUAAUGGAGGAUAUUACCCUUUAGCAACUAACCGUCUACUACCUGAGUAGCUUCGAUUUUGUGAUGAUGAGAGGCACGAAUGUAUGUGUGGCCCAGAUAUUUGUGCAUUAACGUCAUCAUCUGUUUGACAUCAAACAUAUUCUAAUAAUAUCAGCUCAAAGAUU
Molecule: long non-coding RNA, 1134 nt
Organism: Hordeum vulgare subsp. vulgare (domesticated barley)
Lineage: Eukaryota; Viridiplantae; Streptophyta; Magnoliopsida; Poales; Poaceae
Exons: 2
Source: RefSeq, a predicted model, not a curated record